Molecule: long non-coding RNA, 574 nt
Organism: Oncorhynchus masou masou (cherry salmon)
Lineage: Eukaryota; Metazoa; Chordata; Actinopteri; Salmoniformes; Salmonidae
Exons: 3
Source: RefSeq, a predicted model, not a curated record
AAUACCCAGGGCUGUGAGUUUGGAUUUGAAUUCAGUUGCUGUGGAAACGGGGAGCGACGGGGAUAAAACUCUGGGAAGGGAGGGCCAAUCACAGGGGUCCACUCCUCUCCCCCAUCUCAUCGACGGCCUUCCGGCUUUCACGGUGAGGCGCCUCCUGAGUGUUCGACCUCGCGGCAGGGGAUACCAGUACCUGGUUGACUGGGAGGGUUAUGGCCCAGAGGAGAGGUGCUAAGUCCCUGCUAAGAACAUCCUGGACUCAGCCCUCAUUGCUGAGUUCCACCGCCGGCACCCUGGUCAUCCAGGUGAUUGAUGUUCAGCCCUCCAGGGCAUGUUUAUAAAAGAGACAUGGAGGAAGAAGGAUGUGGCACUGGGCAGACUCCUUCAAAAUGGUUUCUCUCCAGAAAUAAAAGAUUUGCAGAGCAGCCUGCACAAGUAAUCUGUCUGUUUCAGAGCGAAUGGCUUCUAAUGGGGUCAACAGAAGGACAUUACUCUGUGGCACAGACACAGACACAGCAAGCACUCCUCAAGCACUCACUGUAAUCUGAAAUACACUUGAUAUCCUAUCUGAACAAUU